CUAAGCUUAUUAUUCUGAGUUUGAACACUGGAUUCGUAUGGCUAACGUCAGUGAAUCAAGGAUCCCAGGGGAUGCCAAUGGCAGGGCACCUCAGUUGUGUAUAUGUGGGGAAAUCAAAUGCUACCUGACUCACAUCUGUAUCACUCAGAAACAUUAUGUAAAAAAUAUCAAAGCAAGAUAAGCAGAUGUGUGAUCCACUACCGCCAAAGCAAAUACUCCUUAUCGUUAGUGUCCAUGUGAAUGAAGUCCUAUAUAGAUCACAAAUUUUUAUAGACAAAUCUAAGACAUUGAAUUAUUUCUUCUAUAUAUAUGAUACUUUGGUGUACUGUGAUCUUGCUGCUUUUAUCCAUAUGUCAGCUUUGGUUCUUGUGAGUUUACCUGCUUAUUAUGAUACUUGGAGUCCAUUCAUAGUGUGGGGAAGAAUGAUUUUUGCCCUGCAGGAGAAGGUCUAAUUGAAAUAAUGCUGCUUGUCCCCAAAGAAAUUGUUUGCCUUGUACUCUUGUUAACCUUAGAGCUAGACCUGGGAAUGAUUCAACUUCAAGCCUUAACCUGGAAUUUUCUGGAUUUGAGGGAAUUCCCAAGCCUAUGAUCUUUUUCACAUUUUCUUUUUCUUAUAUGAAUUUUCUUUUCUCUCUUUUCUGGUGAUAGUCUUUAAAAAUAGAGAUUGACAGUGUAUCAUAGGAUUACCCUCUAAGUGUGAAAAUGUGUAAUUAUGUACGGUAUUUAGAAAAAGCCCUUAUGUGUCCAUUUUGUCAACUGAAUACAUUUAGAUUCACUGGGAAAGUCAGAGAAAUUUAUUCUUUAGUAUCAAAUCAAACCGAGGCUUUUGCCAUCUUUGGAAGAAAAGAUUAUUCAUAACCCAAUGCACAAAGGUUUAAUUUGAGCUGCUGCAUACGUCACCAAGGGGACACUAGGUGAGGCCUUCAAAUGAUUACUACAAGUCUGUGGCCUGAGGUUAUUUUAAAAUUAACAAUUUCGCAUAUAGCCUAUAUGACAACAGAGUGUUUAUAUUUUAUACAAAUAUCUGCUAAACAUGCACACAUAUACUCACACACACAUAUAUAUAUUAGAUGAAAUGUUUUAUUUAUGUAUAAAACAUAUACAUAUAAAACAUUUAUAUAUAUGGCUUUAUUCCACAGGGCACAGUGGCUGUAUAGCCUCAAAAUUUUAAUAUAAAAAAGUGUAUGCAUAUAUACACACACAAACAUGCACAAAUUAUUUAACUUAUUUUGGGUUAAAAUAUAUUUUGAAUGACAAUAUAUGGAGUAGCAAAAACAGUUAAAAUGACUUCUCUUUAAGAGUUAUCCAGAAAAUUAAUUGUAUUAGGUCAAAAUGCCCUUUAUUUCACAGGUCUGUAAGUUAAGGCUAUGGUUGCUCUAUUACCAUAUGCCAAUCAAUACUUUAACUGCAUUCUGUGACAGACUGUUAAUAUGAGGACUGCAGACACCAAGUGGCUCUCCUUUGCAGUGUUUAUGAAUUACAUGCAUUUGAGCUAUCAAUUUUUUUUUCUUUUUUCUCAGGUGGAGUGAAGCUGACAGUACAGUAGAUUUGGAGAGUAAUACAAAUCCUUUCUUUCUGGUUAGAACACACUGCCAAAAGCCAUCUCUUUCAUCUAAGGAAAAGAUUAAAAAUGCAUGUUGAUAUCUCCUAACUAUCACACAACUUCCACUAUUACAAUGAAAAAUCUGUUCCCCUUUCAUUGCCUCUGAAAACUCUUUGACGAGUAGAUUUCAAAAACAGAGAUUUUAAAAAUUUGCUUGCUUUACUGGUGAAGGACAUUUGCAUUUUUUUUUUUUAUUUAUUUAAAGGAAUUAGUUUGUUCUCCUGGCUCAUUCCUCUUUGUUACUUUCUGUUCCAAUACACAGAAAGCUUGAUCAUCUUUGAUCAGCAGAAAUAUCUUUUAUUUAGCAAAGCUCAACUUCCCAAGAGUUAUGCAUGGUGUGCCUAUCUGAAGGUGGUGUUAGCUCUGUUGAAAUGCCUGGGUCUGAGUAACUGUCAUGAUUUUUAUGAUUAAAAACAGACUCUUCAUCAAGAAUAAUGACUAAUUCUAAUUGGUCUUUGUGAUAUGUAAGAUAACUCAUAAAUGAAUUGCAAUGGAUUUUAUUUCGAAUUAACUAUAUAUUUAUCAAAGAGGAACUGGCAGCAAGGGUUUGGAGAAUAUUUUUAGGUACCAAAUAGCAUAGUGAGGAUUCAACCAAAAGAUGAAUUUAUAAGCAGCAGUGCCCAUCACCUAAGUGUUUUAACUAACAGGUUUUAAAAACAUUUUAUUUACACAAAAUAUCAGGGCUGGAUACCUUUUAAAGAGGAGGCUCAAGUAUCGGGCUGUCAUUUCCAAUAGAUCUGACCUUUUCUUCAGAUACAUAAGCAUUAUUUUCUCUGUUUAGGUCCAAGGAAAAACAAAAGGUAAAGGAAAUAAAGGGAAUAUACAUAAGGCAAA
This 2437-nucleotide long non-coding RNA is filed under the name Homo sapiens (human). Its description in RNAcentral is "non-protein coding lnc-C1QL3-1:1". The record is from RNAcentral. Lineage: Eukaryota; Metazoa; Chordata; Mammalia; Primates; Hominidae.